AGCUACUGCACCAGUACAUGUGCAUUUCCGCGAGCCUUCCAGUUAAAGCGGUGGAUCAACAAAUUUAAUUGACUUAAGUCACCGUAUUACGGUUCUCUCGACGCAAACAUGUCUGUUAACGACGUCUGGAACUUCUAUGAACACGCCUUCACUAAGAGAUCCGUGAGGAGAUUCGUUUUAACGCAACCCACAUGAUCGCCUGACCUGGAUCAUCGCCAACCAUAAAGAUGUUUUCACGAAGAACUAGUUUCUCACUGUCGGCGCCAUGACACUCUCCACACUGAAUUGUUUCCAGCUAUCCCUGUCUGUCUAUGUCCCCGACAACCAGGGACGCAAGACCUCUUUCACAAGCUACUGAAUGUAUAUGCCAUGAGGAUCUUGGAGUAAGUAGACUUGUACCCCCCUCAGUCCCCAAACGUUUUUUGUCGAGUAAUCUCCUGAAAUGUUAGAUUGUCCUUCCCUGCACGUACAUACUUUUCAGACUACGUAGCUUCUUUAUCUGUUAACCUGGAAGACAAGAUUCGAACUGGGUUAAUUUGUUCUCAGACUCCUGCUCCAAGCUCAAGAUGCCAUUGUCAAUGCAAACCUUGACAAACGUGUUGUAUACCAGUUGCAGGAUAGUUACAGUGCAGCUUGUUCAGUGCUGUGUUGUCGUUCCCCCUGCAAAUACUGACAGGUUUCCAGCUAUCCCUGUCUGUCUACUUCCACUCCGGCAGCCAGGGACGCAAGGUUUCAGACAUUUGUAUUGUCAUGUUUAAAAUCUUUCUCAUGCACGUGUCUUGUUUCUUACGACUGCUUGAAUUUUGGCUUUUUU
Long non-coding RNA from Synchiropus splendidus (mandarinfish), 814 nucleotides. RefSeq lists it as uncharacterized. The record is from RefSeq and is a predicted model, not a curated record. The transcript is spliced from 6 exons. NCBI's taxonomy places the organism in Eukaryota, Metazoa, Chordata, Actinopteri, Syngnathiformes, Callionymidae.